This 298-nucleotide ribosomal RNA is filed under the name uncultured bacterium. RNAcentral describes it as "partial 16S ribosomal RNA". It matches the Rfam family "Bacterial small subunit ribosomal RNA", at positions 30 to 327 of the family's 1533-position model. The record is from RNAcentral.
AUUGAACGCUGGCGGCAUGCCUUACACAUGCAAGUCGAACGGCAGCACGGGAGCAAUCCUGGUGGCGAGUGGCGAACGGGUGAGUAAUAUAUCGGAACGUGCCCAGUCGUGGGGGAUAACGUAGCGAAAGUUACGCUAAUACCGCAUACGAUCUAAGGAUGAAAGCGGGGGAUCGGCAAGACCUCGCGCGAUUGGAGCGGCCGAUAUCAGAUUAGGUAGUUGGUGAGGUAAAGGCUCACCAAGCCGACGAUCUGUAGCUGGUCUGAGAGGACGACCAGCCACACUGGGACUGAGACAC